Long non-coding RNA from Papaver somniferum (opium poppy), 639 nucleotides. RefSeq lists it as uncharacterized. The transcript is spliced from 2 exons. The record is from RefSeq and is a predicted model, not a curated record. Lineage: Eukaryota; Viridiplantae; Streptophyta; Magnoliopsida; Ranunculales; Papaveraceae.
UUUAGAUGUUUCCAAGAAGGGCAGAUUCUCGCAUAAGUUUCAUGCACUUAUUUUUAUCGCCCCUUCCAGUUUGUAGAUAAAUUUUCUGUAACUCUCGUCGAAUUCAAUUUAAAUUUGUGUACUGUUUAAGGCGUUUUAUAUAUAGAUUUCAGGAUAGUGGAGUGCCAACCUCGUGUCUAAUUUGGUUUCUGUUAUAAUUUAUCGACAAAGUGAGUUACAAAUGAAGCAUAAUAAGAUGGUUCUGGGGUUGAUUACAACUGUGUUGAGUAGAAAGCCAGGGUUAAGGUGCGACAUGGGUCUGAACGAGAUAAAGAAGCAGAAUAAAAAGGGUCUUUGGUAGAAAUCCAGGAUUAAGGCAUGGGAAAGAAGAAGUAUCAACAGGAACAGCUUGAGGACAAGUCAGAGAGGAAUAAAGAUCUAUUAUUCCAUGGUUGUGUUCAGGUUUCCUCAAGUAUUUCAUUGUUUCCAUUGUCGCAUCCGUCAUGGUAGAUGUUAACGACUAAUUCUUAGAGUUUGGUUUGCUAUGUAGUUUUUACCCAGUUCCCAUAAUUGUCUCCUUCAUCUAGAGUUGUAUGAUAUAUUAACUACUAAUCUCUAGAGUAUUUUAGCUUUUAUUAUAUAUAUAGCAAACAUUUGAGA